This 253-nucleotide ribosomal RNA is filed under the name uncultured bacterium. RNAcentral describes it as "partial 16S ribosomal RNA". It matches the Rfam family "Bacterial small subunit ribosomal RNA", at positions 524 to 776 of the family's 1533-position model. The record is from RNAcentral.
AACGUAGGGUGCGAGCGUUGUCCGGAAUUACUGGGCGUAAAGAGCUCGUAGGUGGUUUGUCGCGUUGUUCGUGAAAACUCACAGCUUAACUGUGGGCGUGCGGGCGAUACGGGCAGACUGGAGUACUGCAGGGGAGACUGGAAUUCCUGGUGUAGCGGUGGAAUGCGCAGAUAUCAGGAGGAACACCGGUGGCGAAGGCGGGUCUCUGGGCAGUAACUGACGCUGAGGAGCGAAAGCGUGGGGAGCGAACAGG